AAAUUAAAAAAUUAUUAUUUUAAUUUAGUAAUAGAAAGAUUAAAAAAAAUAAUUUUUUUUUAAGUAAUUUAUAUGAAUAAAUUUUAUUAAUUAUAGUGUAUUAAGUAUUGUGAAAGAUUUUAUUUAAUUUAUGAUAAGAAUAAUUUAUUUUUAGUACCUUGUGUAUCAGGGUUUAUUAAUUAAAAUUUAAUUAAUUAAAUUUCUCGAAUUUAAAAGAGUUAUAUUUAUAUUACUUUUAUUGUUGAAUAAAUAUUGUAAAUAUAAAUAUAGAAGUGAAACGCUAUACGAUUUUAAAUAUAUCUAGUUUUUAAAGAAAAAAAUUUAAUUUUAUUUUUAAUUAAUAUUUAAUUUUAAUUAUUAAAUUAAUAUUAUUAAAAUGCUAUAUUUUAGGGGAUGAGCUUUAAAAUAAAUUUAUAUAAAUUAUAUUAAUAAUAUUUAAUAAGUAGGAUUAUAAGUUUUUAUCUUUAGUAGUGUUUUAUCACUAUUUAAAUAUAAGUAUAUUAUUUUUAUUUUAUUUUAUAUAAUUUAUUUAAAAAUAGAAUUUAAUUUAAAAAUUUUAGUUAUAAUGAUGAAAUUAGUAUAAUUUAUUUGUUGUUAAUUUAUAUAGCUAAAAGGUUUUAUAAAGGAACUCGGCAAAUAUAUUUUUCACCUGUUUAUCAAAAACAUGUCCUUUUGAAUAUAAUUUAAGGUCAAGCCUGCCCACUGAUAUUUUAAAUGGCCGCAGUAUCCUGACUGUGCAAAGGUAGCAUAAUCAUUAGUUUUUUAAUUGUAAGCUGGUAUGAAAGGUUGGAUGAGAAAAUAGCUGUCUCUAUAAUAAUUAUUUAGAAUUUUAUUUUUAAGUAAAAAAGCUUAAAUUUAAAUAAAAGACGAGAAGACCCUAUAGAGUUUUAUAUUAAUAAUAAAAUGAGUAUGAUUCGGUAUAUUUAGUAUUUGUUUUAUUAAAAAUAUUUGGUUGGGGUGAUGGAAAAAUUUAUUAAACUUUUUUUUGUAUUUAAACAUUUAUUUAUGAAAAAUUGAUCCUUUAUUUAAGAUUAUAAGAAUAAAUUACCUUAGGGAUAACAGCGUAAUUUUUUUUGAGAGUUCUUAUCGAAAAAAAAGAUUGCGACCUCGAUGUUGGAUUAAAUUAAAUUUUUGGUGUAGGAGCUAAAACAAUUAGGUCUGUUCGACCUUUAAAAUUUUACAUGAUCUGAGUUCAAACCGGUGUAAGCC
RNAcentral lists this ribosomal RNA (1209 nucleotides) under Hainokisaruzo japonicus. Its description in RNAcentral is "partial 16S ribosomal RNA". The stretch from base 1055 to 1209 matches the Rfam family "Archaeal large subunit ribosomal RNA", at positions 2544 to 2698 of the family's 2987-position model. Lineage: Eukaryota; Metazoa; Arthropoda; Insecta; Coleoptera; Curculionidae. The record is from RNAcentral.